UCUUAGGUCCCUUACUCAGCCGGUUUCGUCCGCCUUCGACCAUCGUCGGUUCAAGUUUUUUUUUUCACGCGCAAUCGUCCCUGCCGAAAACAUCGGGAUGCAAUCCCAUCUAUAGCACCGAUCCACCCCACCUCACCUCCGUCCUGGGCGGCUCGGCGCUGCCUCCUCCCCUCCCAAGCACGAUCCCCCAAGCACAGCCGCCGCCACACCCCCGUCAGAGUACACCUCCAAUACUCCUCUCUCUCUCUCUCUCUCUUGGAGCCGUCGUCGCUCCCCAUCCACCCGGCCCGGCGUGCAUCGGAUCGACCUUGUCCCCUCUCCUUGCAACGUGGAAGAUGGAAGGGGCGGCCAGUCGGCCACCAAUCUGAUGGCGGCGUGGUCAUCUACCUCCUCCCCUCUCCCCACGUUGGUCCAGCCUGUCUUCUCUACCAGAUCUGGCGGCCGCGUCGGCGAAACUGCUGGCAGUGACACGAUUCGCGGGUGUGGCGAUAGGAAACAUCGAUCGGUCGUCUUCGAGGCCGCCUACCACGGCGAUCCCGCAGUCCAUCCUCCCCGCCUCCAAGAUGUGGCCUGCACGAGGCCAUCUUCUCCUUUCCUCGGUGGCGUCCGUCCAAUGAAGAGCUACACCGCCGUGGCACCACAUGACUUGUGUUGUACCCUCGCCCCGCGGCCCUUCUAUGCUGGGAGGAGGCAGCGUUUGUCCGUAGCACCCCAUGUCCCACAUCAUCAUUCCUUUCUUACUUAGUGUCAUACAAGUGAUGCAAUCAUGAUUUGCUGGCCUUUUAACAUAUCCCUGAUGGAGUGGAGGGGAGGGGACAGACGGAUUGGAAAUACAAUGAGGAUGGUGCAUGGAGAACAUGCUCUGUUGCCAUCUUCAUCCGCGAGUUGGCUCCCAAAUCUAAAAGGCGCGUCUGACGAAACAGGAGUGUAACAGGGCACGGCUGCUGAACCAGGACAACCACAUAUGAGUUUUUGAUUUCUUAUUUGUUCGUCAGUGAGUCUAUAGCAUAGGAUUACACCAUACAUCAUUCUUCCCAUCAUUUAUGUUCUGCAAAUGAGAUAUGCAAUUUUUUCUUGGUAUCUUGGAUAAUCACAGUCUGGUUCUUGAAGUGCGAAAAUUAAACUGAUCUAAGUUAUUUUCUUUUUCAGGACCUGGUCACAAAUAAUGAGUUUGAGACAAACCUUGUGUCAUGUGUUAUCGCACUCAGAUAUUGGAGCCUUGGAGAAUGUAAAAGAAAUGUUAAACGGUUAGAUGUGGCCCCUCUAAACUUACUUGAAUUGCUCAGCAAAGGUCCGCGAUUAAUGGUACCCAUGUACAUUCAGUAGGCCGAGUUGCCGAGUUGGUCUUGCUAUAUUGUAUUCAGGCAUAGUCUUGAAAUUUCAUCAAAAAUAAGUUCAAGCAUGAUAUUUAAUAUCAAUUCUGGAAGAAUGACCUGACACACCUGAACAUAAGAAAACAUAAGGUGGCUAAAAAAUAUAUUGAACCAAAUGUGCCUGACUGAAUUUUAUUUGGAAAAAGUACUGAAUUUUAUUUGGGAGUACAAUAAGCAGUUAUGUAUAAUCUUCUGUCUUGCAAACUGGAAAUGAAAACUAAUUAUCAUUUUUU
Non-coding RNA from Triticum urartu, 1606 nucleotides. NCBI's taxonomy places the organism in Eukaryota, Viridiplantae, Streptophyta, Magnoliopsida, Poales, Poaceae. The record is from RefSeq and is a predicted model, not a curated record.